UACGUAGGGGGCAAGCGUUAUCCGGAUUUACUGGGUGUAAAGGGAGCGUAGACGGCAGGGCAAGUCUGGAGUGAAAGGCGGGGGCUCAACCCCCGGACUGCUCUGGAAACUGCCAGGCUGGAGUGCAGGAGAGGUAAGCGGAAUUCCUAGUGUAGCGGUGAAAUGCGUAGAUAUUAGGAGGAACACCAGUGGCGAAGGCGGCUUACUGGACUGUAACUGACGUUGAGGCUCGAAAGCGUGGGGAGCAAACAGG
RNAcentral lists this ribosomal RNA (253 nucleotides) under uncultured bacterium. Its description in RNAcentral is "partial 16S ribosomal RNA". It matches the Rfam family "Bacterial small subunit ribosomal RNA", at positions 524 to 776 of the family's 1533-position model. The record is from RNAcentral.